Molecule: ribosomal RNA, 458 nt
Filed under: uncultured bacterium
Lineage: Bacteria
Description: partial 16S ribosomal RNA
Rfam family: Bacterial small subunit ribosomal RNA
Source: RNAcentral
CCUACGGGAGACAGCAGUGAGGAAUAUUGGUCAAUGGGCGGGAGCCUGAACCAGCCAAGUCGCGUGAGGGAAGAAGGUACUGAGUAUUGUAAACCUCUUUUGCCAGGGGACAAAGGCGGCCACGGGUGGCCGUAAGAGGGUACCUGGAGAAAAAGCAUCGGCUAACUCCGUGCCAGCAGCCGCGGUAAUCCGGAGGAUGCGAGCGUUAACCGGAUUUAUUGGGUUUAAAGGGUGCGUAGGCGGGAUGCCAAGUCAGCGGUCAAAUACGGGGGCUCAACCUGCGUCCGCCGUUGAAACUGGCGUUCUUGAGUGGGCGAGAAGUACGCGGAAUGCGUGGUGUAGCGGUGAAAUGCAUAGAUAUCACGCAGAACCCCGAUUGCGAAGGCAGCGUACCGGCGCCCAACUGACGCUGAAGCACGAAAGCGUGGGUAUCGAACAGGAUUAGAUACCCCAGUAGU